RNAcentral lists this long non-coding RNA (325 nucleotides) under Brassica napus (rape). Its description in RNAcentral is "long non-coding RNA (BNAP_LNC005605)". Lineage: Eukaryota; Viridiplantae; Streptophyta; Magnoliopsida; Brassicales; Brassicaceae. The record is from RNAcentral.
ACGAGGCAUUGUUUGUAUUGUUGUUGUUGCUGCUUGAGGUUGAUGAACCCAUUUGAGCAGCUUUCUGAAGAAGAGCAGUGGCUGACAUGUGAGAUGCUGAAUUAGGGUUUUGCAUUGACGAGCUAAAGAGUGAAGGCACUGCUCCUGAAUUGAUUCUGCCUGCUNNNNNNNNNNAAGGCACUGCUCCUGAAUUGAUUCUGCUUGCUGAACUCAUCAGAUUAUUAGGGAAGAGACCAGUACUUCCUCCUCCGCUUCCUCCAACAGCAUUUUCACCACCAAAAUGGUUUGAAAGCAUAUGGUUAGCCGAAGGAACAGCAGCAGCAUU